Pan paniscus (pygmy chimpanzee) is the source of this 790-nucleotide long non-coding RNA. The record is from Ensembl. Lineage: Eukaryota; Metazoa; Chordata; Mammalia; Primates; Hominidae.
AGGACAUACAGAUUUCUAUGGCAUAAGGCACAAAAACCGCCUAUGAAGUGAUGCUGUGGUGUCUUCAUUUUCUUGUUUUUAAGAACUUAAAGCAACUGGUUCUUCUAUCCAUUGUCCUUAUACCUGUAUGUGUGGGCAGAGGCCCAAGAAUCUAUCACUUCCUUGAAUUCACUGAGUGUGCAGGAGGAAUGUCAGAGAGUGGAAGAAGAGAUCAAAUGAAGAGAGGGCAUGGCAUAGAUUUGAUCUUCCAACAGAGAACAGAAGAAAGGUUUCCUAGUAUGGCAGUCCAUUCUGGCAUGGAACUGAGUACCAUGGAAAGGUGGGACCCUCAAAGGAACAGGGAUGCCCUGAGUUCUCUAAGUACUUCCCGUUGCACAUGGAUAAGAAAUGCAGAGGUGAGUACCUCUCAAAAAAUUCAAAAAUGUGGCCUAACACAGGUUUAUUGAUUGAUUGAUUGAGAUGGAGCCUCUCUCUGUUGCCCAGGCUGGAGUGCAAUGGCAUAAUCUCGGCUCACUGCAACGUCUGCCUCCCAGGUUGAAGCUAUCUUCAUACCUCAGUCUCCUGAAUAGCUGGGAUUACAGGCAUGCGCCACCAUGCCCGGCUAAUUUUUGUAUUUUUGUAGUAGAGAUGGGGUUUCACUAUGUUAGCCAGGCUGGUCUCGAACUCCUGACCUCAAGGGAUCCACCCACCUUAGCCUCCCAAAAUGCCGGGAUUACAGGCAUGAGACACCGCCCCCGCCCUGACACAGGUUUUUAUUCUCAUGAACAUAUUUGGAGAAAAGUCUUGCAGA